GAUGAACGCUAGCGGCAGGCCUAACACAUGCAAGUCGAGGGAGAAGCCCUUUCGGGGGCAGAAACCGGCGCACGGGUGCGUAACGCGUAUGCAACCUACCUUUCACAGGGGGAUAGCCCGAAGAAAUUUGGAUUAAUACCCCAUAAUAUUAUUGGAUGGCAUCAUUUGAUAAUUAAAACUGCGGUGGUGAAAGAUGGGCAUGCGUCCUAUUAGCUAGUUGGAGUGGUAACGGCACCCCAAGGCUACGAUAGGUAGGGGUCCUGAGAGGGAGAUCCCCCACACUGGUACUGGGACAGGGACCAGACUCCUACGGGAGGCAGCAGUGAGGAAUAUUGGUCAAUGGUCGGAAGACUGAACCAGCCAUGCCGCGUGCAGGAAGAAUGCCUUAUGGGUUGUAAACUGCUUUUAUAUGGGAAGAAUAAGGCGUACGUGUACGUUGAUGACGGUACCAUAUGAAUAAGCAUCGGCUAACUCCGUG
RNAcentral lists this ribosomal RNA (478 nucleotides) under uncultured bacterium. RNAcentral's name for it is "partial 16S ribosomal RNA". It matches the Rfam family "Bacterial small subunit ribosomal RNA", at positions 28 to 507 of the family's 1533-position model. The record is from RNAcentral.